RNAcentral lists this long non-coding RNA (863 nucleotides) under Gallus gallus (chicken). Its description in RNAcentral is "lncRNA (ENSGALG00010025975.1)". The record is from RNAcentral. Lineage: Eukaryota; Metazoa; Chordata; Aves; Galliformes; Phasianidae.
AAACAAGAAGUUUGUUUAUUUAUUGUUUGUUUCCAUAGAAUAAACAAUCAGAGGCAGAGGCAGAGGCAGAGGCAGAGGCAGAGGCAGAGGCAGAGGAGGAGCCGCGAGGAGGAGGGGAGAAGCCGUUGCCGCGGCGACGCGCGGCUCGGGCGGGCGCUGUGCGGUGGCAGUGACGCACGGCUCUGCGCGCGCCCUGGAGACGCGUGAACGCGCGAGCGUCCUCCGGCCGGCCCCUUCCUCGUCGCCCUCGUCGUCCUCGCAAAUGCGGACUCAGAGCAAAGCAGCUCCCUUUGGCACGGGGAGGAGCGCCGCUAACUCGACCACGCUCGCUCCCGUGAGGCGGCUCGCUUGCCGGCGAUCUCCGACGGACGGCUCGCUAGGAGACGCCUGCAGUUCCCGUUCUGGCAGCGGCUCGGUGCAAGCGCAGGCCCAAGGGAGAUGUCAGCUGCGGAGACGUGCCCUUCCUCCACAGCACGGGAAAGCAAGUCGGGGAGAAGAGCUGCAGGCAGCUGAACCUAUAUGAGAAAAUGGAACUGAGAGACCCUGCGAAGGAGGAGAUCCCUGAGAAAAAGCGCAACACCAGCCAGAAGCUCAGCCUCGGAUACCUGCACAUGGCCGUCAGACAGAAGACGGGCAUGAAGACGAGAGCAGGGUCAGACCCUAAAGAACAGCAAGGCCACCUUGGCUAUGGAGCAGACAGUGGACCUGAAAUUGCAACAAGAAACAGGCUGCUCUUCAUUAACAUCCGUCGUUGCCGUCAUCCUCCCUACGGCUUCUCCUGUAAGAAGAUGUGGAAGAAGAGAAACUGAGCACAAAGCUGCCACCAUAUGUGCAAAAACCCCUGCAGAAUAAAAAGUCCUGCU